RNAcentral lists this ribosomal RNA (411 nucleotides) under uncultured Actinomycetes bacterium. RNAcentral describes it as "bacterial SSU rRNA". It matches the Rfam family "Bacterial small subunit ribosomal RNA", at positions 9 to 420 of the family's 1533-position model. Lineage: Bacteria; Bacillati; Actinomycetota; Actinomycetes. The record is from RNAcentral.
GAGUUUGAUCCUGGCUCAGGACGAACGCUGGCGGCGUGCUUAACACAUGCAAGUCGAACGGGAUCAUCGCUUUCGGGUGGUGGUUUAGUGGCGAACGGGUGAGUAACACGUGGGUAAUCUGCCUCAUACUCUGGGAUAAGCCUGGGAAACUGGGUCUAAUACCGGAUAGGACCUUUCACCGCAUGGUGGGGGGUGGAAAGCUUUGGCGGUGUGAGAUGGGCCCGCGGCCUAUCAGCUUGUUGGUGGGGUGUUGGCCUACCAAGGCGACGACGGGUAGCCGGCCUGAGAGGGCGACCGGCCACACUGGGACUGAGACACGGCCCAGACUCCUACGGGAGGCAGCAGUGGGGAAUAUUGCACAAUGGGCGCAAGCCUGAUGCAGCGACGCCGCGUGAGGGAUGACGGCCUCGG